CCUACGGGAGGCAGCAGUGGGGAAUAUUGCACAAUGGGGGAAACCCUGAUGCAGCGACGCCGCGUGAGUGAAGAAGUAAUUCGUUACGUAAAGCUCUAUCAGCAGGGAAGAAAAUUACGGUACCUGAGUAAGAAGCCCCGGCUAACUACGUGCCAGCAGCAGCGGUAAUACGUAGGCGGCAAGCGUUAUCCGGAUUUACUGGGUGUAAAGGGAGCGUAGACGGUUUGCCAAGUCUGGAGUGAAAUGCUGCAGCUUAACUGUGAAACUGCAUUGGAAACUGGCGAACUAGAGUUCGGGAGGGGUAAGCGGAAUUCGUGGUGUAGCGGUGAAAUGCGUAGAUAUUAGGAAGAACACCGAUGGCGAAGGCAGCUUACUGGACCGUAACUGACGUUGAGGCUCGAAAGUGUGGGGAGCAAACAGGAUUAGAUACCCCAGUAGUC
This 440-nucleotide ribosomal RNA is filed under the name uncultured bacterium. RNAcentral's name for it is "partial 16S ribosomal RNA". It matches the Rfam family "Bacterial small subunit ribosomal RNA", at positions 338 to 795 of the family's 1533-position model. The record is from RNAcentral.